AAUCAAGAAAGAAGUUAAACCUAUCUCUAGUCUCCCCUCUUCUCAGUUCGGCCUCACCUAGGCUCCGGGGGGGGGGGGGGGGGCGAGGCUGCAGCAGCCUCGCCUUCCCGUCGAGCAACCCAAUUCAUCCCCCCAUAUAACAUCUUGGUAUCAGACGACCACGAUCCUGUUAUCCACUCCACGCCAUUCACCAUGCCUGCCAUCCAUGACCUCCACACGCUGCGCCAAUCCUCCAGGGCCAUACAGACCUCCAUCACCGAGGUCACAGCUGGGCUCGCCAAGGUGACCGAGUUGGUGCUGGCGCUCCGCGCUGGGUUUGCGGAACAGAAUGCGGCGGUGGAGACUUCGACGACGACACCCCCUCCGCUACCCACGGUAUCAAAGGCAGAGGUGCUGCAGCCACUCGCGCCACCUUCCCCACCACGAGCAGCAGGCUCCCCACCGCCCACACUGCCGACGGCUGAGGUCCUGCAGCCACGUGCUACGGCGCCACCUGCCCCGCCAUCACCCCUGUUCGUGUCUGCCGUGGUUCUGCCACAUCUCCCCAUGGUGCUGCCGGGGCUUGCCGAGAUGCCACUGCAUCAGUCGUCGCCAUGGACGAACAUCGUGUUGCGUCGUCCUUGUUCUCCCCUGCGAGGCUGUGACCACGGUAACGAUUUACCGUCAAGAGGUUCCCUCGCGCAGUCACGCGUCCUCCAGAAGCGGCGCGCGGUUUGGUGUCAUCUCCACGGCCACCAGGUGCGGUGCGCCUGGAGGCGCAAGGCGAGGGGGCGGCGUGCAAGACGGAGGCGGUUUCGGCGUGCGCGUGGCCUCCUGACGGUGCGGGCCGCAGCGCGACAACGUCGUGCGCGGUUCGUGCGCGAGGCCGUUGGGAAGGAGCGCAUUCACGCCGUUUUUUCCGCACGGCAUGCGCGCAAUUCUUUUUUUCUGGCGGCGCGUGCAAAGCGGAGACCUCCAGGGGCGACACGGCUUCCUGGUCUUGCGCGGCGUCGGCGCAUCUUGCGUGCUGCAGGUUCGCGGCUCCGUCUUGCGGUAUCUGCGCGUCUUGCUGGUCCGUACAAGGAACGACAUGGGGACAGGGAAUCAUCGUUCAUGAAACCCUAUCCACACAUGGGCUGGUUUCUGGGCCGGUUGGAUAGGCUUCCUCUCAGCUUACAGCAUCCCUUGGCCAGCUUGUCAGUUGUGCCUCAACAAGAAACACCAAUAACUCCGGCCCGUCACUGCAUGAUUAGCUGUUUUUUCCAACGUAGAUUGAAUCGUGCUGCUGCUCCCCUUUCUUUGCGAAGUUUAGGAUGGGGUCCACCAAUAUCUGUCGAUAGCAUGCUGACGUGGAACUCCCGAGUUACCUUAGAUUUAUUAUUUUACUUUCAAAAUAAGAUUCAUAGCCGAGAUGUAAAAGGCUUAAUAAUAGGAGAUGAGUCUAGAUGCCAAGACAAUCAUCAUGUGGAGACUAACUUGCAACUCGCGGGCAAGCUGCUUCCGAAGGAGAAGGGAAAGGGGACUAGGAUGACAUGGGUGAUCGGCACCCCUCAAUCUUCAGGCAUGGCUUCCACCGCAGCUCGAGGACGAGCUGUCUCGAAGGAGGGAUGGAGAUGUUAUGGGCAGAACUCAUCCCCUCUUUAUUAGAUAAGGUUGUUAGGAGGUUUGUUAGGAUUUAUUAGAUAAGGUUGUUAGGAGGUUUGUUAGGAGCCGGCUCUAUAUACAGAGAGGCACCGCAGUCAUUCGGAAUUAAUCAAGAAAGAAGUUAAACCU
RNAcentral lists this long non-coding RNA (1752 nucleotides) under Oryza sativa tropical japonica subgroup. Its description in RNAcentral is "lncRNA OsAzu_07g0028940". Lineage: Eukaryota; Viridiplantae; Streptophyta; Magnoliopsida; Poales; Poaceae. The record is from RNAcentral.